RNAcentral lists this ribosomal RNA (491 nucleotides) under uncultured bacterium. RNAcentral's name for it is "bacterial SSU rRNA". It matches the Rfam family "Bacterial small subunit ribosomal RNA", at positions 28 to 528 of the family's 1533-position model. The record is from RNAcentral.
GAUGAACGCUAGCGGGAGGCUUAAUACAUGCAAGUCGAGCGGCAAGUUUUGAUAGCAAUAUUGGAACCUAGAGCGGCGCACGGGUGAGUAACGCGUACAUGACCUGCCCUAUACUGGGGGAUAGUCUUGGGAAACUGAGAAUAAUCCCGCAUGUGAUUAGAAUGCUGCAUGGCAAAUUAAUUAAAGCUGAGGCGGUAUAGGAUGGGUGUGCGUCUGAUUAGCUAGUUGGUAGUGUAACGGACUACCAAGGCGAUGAUGGGUAGCCGGCCUGAGAGGGUGAACGGCCACAUUGGGACUGAGACACGGCCCAGACUCCUACGGGGGGCAGCAGUGAGGGAUUUUCGGCAAUGGGCGAAAGCCUGACCGAGCGACGCCGCGUGAGCGAAGAAGGCCUUCGGUCGUAAGACUCUGUCUAGGGGACGGAGAGAGGACGGUACCCCUCGGAGGAAGCCACGGCGUAACUACGUGCCAGCAGCCGCGGUAAGUGACGU